CCUACGGGUGGCAGCAGUGGGGGAUAUUGCACAAUGGGGGGAACCCUGAUGCAGCGACGCCGCGUGGGUGAAGAAGCGCCUCGGCGCGUAAAGCCCUGUCAGCAGGGAAGAAAAUGACGGUAACUGAAGAAGAAGCCCCGGCUAACUACGUGCCAGCAGCCGCGGUAAUACGUAGGGGCCAGGGGUAUACGGGAUUUAGGGGGGGAAAAGGGGCGCAGACGGCGAUGCAAGCCUGGAGUGAAAAACCGGGGCCCCACCCCGGGACUGCUCUUGGAACUGCGUGGCUGGAGUGCAGGAGGGGCAGGCGGAAUUCCUGGUGUAGCGGUGAAAUGCGUAGAUAUCAGGAGGAACACCGGUGGCGAAGGCGGCCUGCUGGACUGCAACUGACGUUGAGGCCCGAAAGCGUGGGGAGCAAACAGGAUUAGAUACCCCGGUAGUC
Molecule: ribosomal RNA, 439 nt
Filed under: uncultured bacterium
Lineage: Bacteria
Description: partial 16S ribosomal RNA
Rfam family: Bacterial small subunit ribosomal RNA
Source: RNAcentral